Megalobrama amblycephala (Wuchang bream) is the source of this 116-nucleotide small nuclear RNA. RefSeq annotates it as U5 spliceosomal RNA. NCBI's taxonomy places the organism in Eukaryota, Metazoa, Chordata, Actinopteri, Cypriniformes, Xenocyprididae. The record is from RefSeq and is a predicted model, not a curated record. The transcript has a single exon.
ACACUCAUGUUUCUUUUCAUAUCGUAUAAAUCUUUCGCCUUUUACUAAAGAUUUACGUGGAGAGGAACACUAUGAGUAUAAACUAAUUUUUUAAUGUCCUACUUAACGGUCGGGCU